UCUGGUUGAUCCUGCCAGUAGUCAUAUGCUUGUCUCAAAGAUUAAGCCAUGCAUGUCUAAGUAUAAAUAGUAUACAGUGAAACUGCGAAUGGCUCAUUAAAACAGUUAUAGUUUAUUUGAUAAUUGACAAUUACAUGGAUAACCGUGGUAAUUCUAGAGCUAAUACAUGCUUAAACGCCCGACUUUAUGGAAGGGUGGUAUUUAUUAGACUGAAGCCAAUAUUCCUUGUGUCUAUUGCGGUGAUUCAUAAUAACUGACCGAAUCUCUUUUUGAGAUAAAUCAUUCAAGUUUCUGCCCUAUCAGCUUUCGAUGGUAGUGUAUUGGACUACCAUGGCAGUAACGGGUAACGAAGAAUUAGGGUUCGAUUUCGGAGAGGGAGCAUGAGAAACGGCUACCACAUCUAAGGAAGGCAGCAGGCGCGUAAAUUACCCAAUCCUGACUCAGGGAGGUAGUGACAAGAAAUAGCAAACCGGGAACCUCAUGGUUUCACGGUAUUGCAAUGAGAACAAUUUAAAACCCUUAGCGAGAAUCAAGUGGAGGACAAGUCUGGUGCCAGCACCCGCGGUAAUUCCAGCUCCACUAGCGUAUAUUAAAGUUGUUGCAGUUAAAAAGCUCGUAGUUGAACCUCUGUCUGGGGCUAGUUUUGGCUUUGGUCAGGCUAGUUCUAGGCAUCCGCCUACAAGACUUAGAGGGCAUUCAGUUGCUCACUAGGAGGAGUAGGCAUUUUACUUUGAAAAAAUUAGAGUGUUUAAGGCAGGCAAUCGCCCGCAUAUAUUAGCAUGGAAUAAUAGAAUAGGACACUUUUCCAUUUCGUUGGUUAUUGGAAUCGUGUAAUGAUUAAUAGGGACAGUUGUGGGCAUUUGUAUUUAAUUGUCAGAGGUGAAAUUCUUGGAUUUAUUAAAGACAAACUAACGCGAAAGCAUUUGCCAAGGAUGUUUUCAUUAAUCAAGAACGAAAGUUAGGGGAUCAAAGACGAUCAGAUACCGUCCUAGUCUUAACUAUAAACUAUUCCGACUCAAUGUUUGACUGGCUUAUAUAACCAGUUGAGCGUUGUAUGAGAAAUCAAAGUCUUUAGGUUCUGGGGGGAGUAUGGUUGCAAAGCUGAAACUUAAAGGAAUUGACGGAAGAGCACAACCAGGAGUGGAUUCUGCGGCUUAAUUUGACUCAACACGGGGAAACUUACCAGGUUAAAACAAUAGUGGGAUUGACAGUUUGAGAGCGCUUUCUUGAUUGGUUGGGUGGUGGUGCAUGGCCGUCCUUAGUUGGUGGAGUGAUUUGUCUGCUUAAUUGCGUUAACGAACGAGACCUUAACCUGCUUACUAGACUGGCGAUCAUCAAUCGUUAGCUCUUCUUAGAGGGAC
Molecule: ribosomal RNA, 1361 nt
Filed under: metagenome
Description: SSU rRNA
Rfam family: Eukaryotic small subunit ribosomal RNA
Source: RNAcentral